UGGGAGUCGUCAGAUUAUACUGGAGAA
Molecule: non-coding RNA, 27 nt
Filed under: Homo sapiens (human)
Lineage: Eukaryota; Metazoa; Chordata; Mammalia; Primates; Hominidae
Source: RNAcentral